Molecule: long non-coding RNA, 3440 nt
Filed under: Citrus x clementina
Lineage: Eukaryota; Viridiplantae; Streptophyta; Magnoliopsida; Sapindales; Rutaceae
Description: Citrus clementina (C. clementina) long non-coding RNA (CCLE_LNC000870)
Source: RNAcentral
UUCUUUAUUUGAAAUUUUUAAAAAUAAUAAGAACUUUUUGUAAUUAUUUUUUAAAAGUGUGGUGAAUUUAUAGAAUUUGUGAGGUGAAAAUACCACCACCCCUGAAAUAAAGGAAAUAAAAUAAGUUGAGGCUUAUAAUAAUUUAGAUGAUAUUUUGAAGAAUGUCAUUUUACUGGAUGGGUAAUUCAAAAUUUAUACUUUCAAUUCAAUAUAUAAACAUUGUUUAAAUUCAAUAUAUAAAUAUUGUUUAAAUUAAAUAGGUCUUCACUUUUAGUGGUUUAUCCAAUAAAUACUCAAUCACAAGAGAAAUUAUUUUUAAACCGCCCAUAUAUCUUUUAUUGAGAGUUCAUUUAGACCAAAUAGAUAUAUCUCAUCAGACAUGUAAGGUGAAGCCAAAAUAAUAGCAAUUUAAAUCCGAAUCUGAAUAUAUAUCUAAACUCAAUCGGAUCAAAAAAUUUGCUCACCCUAUCUACAUUAUUAAAUGUAGACAAUCUUUUCCAUGAUAAAUAAAUUUGUAGUUUGGUGUAUGUAUGUGUGUGUGUUAGUUUGUUGACAUGGAGUUGAUGACACCACCAAAAGUUUUCUUCAAAUGUAAAGUUUUUUUAUUCUUAGAAUUGAGGAAGGAAAAUACACUCUCACAAUAUUUUGUGGGAACUCCAACCCAUGUCCUCACAAUUGUGAGGUUAUGGUUCUAAUGUUGAUCGAUUGGUCUUCAAAUGUAAAGUUUGAAAUGAGGGAAAAAGACUAACGCACCCCCAAUGUUUAAUGAAAGGGACAUAAACCCCCCAAUGUUUGAAAAAAGACAUUCACACCCUCAUUUAUUAAUAGAAACUGUUUCUUUUAAAAGAAAUUAUAAUUUUUACAUCUAAUUAUCAUUAUACCCUCAAAAUGUCAUAUAAAAAUAAUUUUUGAUUAUCCAAUUUGCCCAUGUCGUAUAAAAAUAACCUUCCGAGGCAUUACAACAUUCAACCAAAUUCUUAAAUCUUCCUAAUCAUUUUUUUUUAAUAAUCUUACAAACUAAAAACAAAAAACAAAAGCAAAAACAAAUAUGACUGUCAUCAUCGUCGUAUAAAACCUUGGAUACAAAGAUGAUUUCUGAUAAUCACAGAAGAUUAUCGAAUUGACGAGUAGUAGCUUACACCGAGUAGAAGCACCAACAGCGGUGGCUUGGAUUUGAGGAUACACUAGUGGCGGUUUCGAUCGCAAGCAGUACCAGCAGAUUCAGACAAGGCGAUCAGUGGAAGCAACCUGGAGGCGGAUUAGCGGUACCAGCAGCGGGGAAACAAUGUGUGUGUGUGUGUGUGUGUUAAGGGUGCGAAGAUCGGGAAACAAUGUGUGUGUUAAGGGUUCGUGUGUUAAGUGAUUGCACAUUUUGUUUGUGUAUGUUAAGUGUGCGUGUGUAUCUGUGUGUGUUUUGUUCGUGUGUGUUAAGUGUGUGCAUGUUUUGUUUGUGUGUGUUAAGAAGUGGAGGGAAUUGCGUGGGAUAUACCCUGUUUCCCUCAUAAUACCCAAAAUAUACCUCCAUCUAUUAAAAUCUAUAAUUUUACACAUAUAUACUUUAAAAAAUCAGGGAAAGUACAAAAAUAGCCUCAAUAAAAUACCAACAAAAAAUUAAUACUUGACUCAUUCAAUCUACUUACUCGACUUCUUACUCGACUAGAUACUCGAUUUAUGCAAUUGCCUUCACUUCUUGCUCAACUUACCAGACUUCAUACCCGACUUCAUACUCGAGUAGAUACUCGACUUAUUCAAUUAUCUUCAUUUCUUACUCGACUAAAUGCUCAACUUACCAGACUUCAUAUCUGAUUUCGUACUCGACUAGAUACUCAACUUAUUCAAUUGCCUUAACUUCUUACUCGACUGAAUGUUCAACUUAUCAUGCUUCAUACACGACUUCGUACUUGACUAGAUACUCGACUUAUUCAAUUGCCUUCAUUUCUUACUCGACUGAAUGCUCAACUUACCAGACUUCGUACUCGACUAGAUACUUGACUUAUUCAAUUGUCUUCACUUCUUGCUCGACUUAUUCAAUUGCCUUCACUUCUUACUCUACUGAAUACUCAACUUACUAGACUUCACUUCUUUAAAAAUAUUAAUACUCGACUCAAUGUACUUACUCGACUUAACACUCGACCUCUUUAAAAAUUACAUAAAUUUUACUUGACUUGUUCAAAAUAUUUACUUGACUUCUACUUAAUACUCGACUCAUUUAAUAUGCUUACUCGACUUCCUACUAGACCAUAUACUCAACUUACUUAUCUUCAAUUCUUACUCAACUAAAUUCUUGACUUACCCGACCUCGUACUAGACUUCUUCCUGCACUGAGAGGAAGAAAGGUGUGGAUUCUUGAUUUUUUUAAGGUUAUUUUUUACUUUUCCUAUCUUCGUGAGGUAUAUGUAUGUAAUAGGGUAUAAAUUUGGUAUUUAAGGGCAAAUUGGGGAUAUUUAAAUAAAAAAAACCCGAAAGAGUGUGUGCGUCAAGACACUUUGAAUUAGUGUUUGUUUGAGGGGGUUUUGUGGUAAAUUUAUUCGUUAUUAGUAUGUAAUUACAAUAUUAGCCUUUUAAUGAUUUAAGGAAACAAUUUCUGUUAAUAAAUGGGGAUGUGAAUUUUUUUUUCAAAAUGUUAGAAGGUUUUAUGUCCUUUUUAUUAAACGUUAGGGGUGCAUCAGUUUAUUUCCCUUAAAAUGAUUAAUAGUCUAUUUCUUGAAAGUGAACAAAAUCCUUCUAGGAAACAUUCAAUAAUUUAUCUAAUCAUUUACACUGAUGAAGGAAUCAAUUUACAGAAAAAUAUUAAAGAAACCGCAUGUCAAAGAGAUUAUUGUAACUUCCUCCUUUAACAUCGUUUCUUUUAUGAUCUAACCUAAAAAGAAUUCCAUUCUACUACUCUACACGGCACUGAAUUUCUUGCUAAAGCUUUAAUCAUGUUGGGUAUAUCAUCAACAAUUAAUUUUUUAAUUAAGGAAGCAACAAAUUUUUUAAGGAUAAUGAUUUUUACAAGUCAGAGCAUAAACUUAGGGUUUGUUAUACAAAUGCUAAAUUUACAUUAUUAGAAGUCGUAAAUAUAACAUUUUAUGUUUACAGUACUCUUAUUGUGUUUAUUAAUGUCAUCAGAUUCAUCAUGACUAGAGAUGGCCAAUGGACCGAGCGGCACGAGGCGAGGCACGGCACGACACGGGCACGGCAUGUGUUCGUGCAGCAUGGCACGAAAAGAGCACGUUUCGGUAGGGCACAAGGCACGGCACGGCACGCACGUGAGCCAUGUUAGGGCUAGAAUUUUAAGCACGCAGGCCUUAAAAGCACGGCACGAUUAGAGAUGGGUCAAAACAUGACACGCGAAAAGACACAUAAUAAGCACGCUUCAUUGUUGGGCUAAGCACGCUGCCCGUGGGCCCAAGUAUAUCAACAUAAUUUUUUUAAUGAAAAAUAAAUAUAAAAUAUCA